AUGCGAUGAUGAGUGAAGUAUAGUCUGACCUGGUAUUGCCAUUGUUUCAGUGUUGGCUUUGACCAGGGCAUGACUCCUUAAUCUUCUCUCUGAGCUG
RNAcentral lists this small nucleolar RNA (97 nucleotides) under Castor canadensis (American beaver). Its description in RNAcentral is "Z30 small nucleolar RNA (ENSCCNG00000028788.1)". It matches the Rfam family "Z30 small nucleolar RNA". Rfam says of the family: Z30 belongs to the C/D class of snoRNA which contain the C (UGAUGA) and D (CUGA) box motifs. Most of the members of the box C/D family function in directing site-specific 2'-O-methylation of substrate RNAs. Lineage: Eukaryota; Metazoa; Chordata; Mammalia; Rodentia; Castoridae. The record is from Rfam by way of RNAcentral.